This is a long non-coding RNA of Canis lupus familiaris (dog), 1718 nucleotides long. RefSeq lists it as uncharacterized. The transcript is spliced from 3 exons. The record is from RefSeq and is a predicted model, not a curated record. NCBI's taxonomy places the organism in Eukaryota, Metazoa, Chordata, Mammalia, Carnivora, Canidae.
GCCAGGACUCAACCGCUUCUCACUGCCUCCACUCUACCACCUACUCCGAGCCCGGAUAAGUCUCUUCGCUGGCCUUCCUGCUCCCACCCUUGCCUCCCUUCCCUCUACUCUCAACGGAGCAAGCCCAGGGAAAGAAAGAGAGCAAGCAGGACUCGGGGGGAGCAGCAGAGAGAGAAGCAGACUCCCUGCCAAGCAGGGAGCCCGACGUGGGGCUCCAUCCCAGGACCUGGAGCCCACGACCCUCGCUGAAGCCAGAGCCCUCAGCCGACUGAGCCACCCAGAACACCUGCUGCCCCGUCCCUUUGGCCUCAUCCAUUAUGCAGCGUGCUGGCAGGACCCACGGCGGCGACAGACCUGCCGAAAGACAAAGGGGCAGACCCGGCCCCUCAGACAGCGGACCGCGAACGGCACACGCUUCCUUGCCCCGCUCCGGGACACCGGCAGGUACCUCCAAAACCCAUUCACCGGAGCUUAGUGGGUUGGCAUUAUAUGGCCCUGGGUGAGGUGAAAAUGCCCGGAAAACACUGGCUCUUCACAUCGCGUCUUUGGGGGCGUCUGGUACUAGUUCGUGGGGACCAGCCUUCACAUCCUGCCCGAGAGAGGAAUCGUUGGAGAAGCACCUCCGGGGCCCCGCAGAACCCUCGCUCCGCAGGAUACAAGCCAUAUGAUGUGGAAAGAAGGCUCCACGGUCAAGUAACUUUGGGGAAUGCUGUUUUUAAAAAACGUAUGGGGUUUUUUUGUUGUUGUUUUUCCGACUUUGAGCUUCUCAGAACUCAUAACUGGCCAGGGUGCACAGACAUCCUCCAGCGGGUGAUGACAUAGCACUUCCCCAACCAUCUGACCGAGACCUCUUUUGGAGAAAAGUCCCUGGUGGGUGGAACCAGAGGAAACUCUUCACCAUACUGCGUCACCUAGUCGCCAGGUUUUUAAAAAAUGUGAAUAAGCUGCCAAAUUUAAAAAUCAGAAGUGCUAGUGUUUAAACAAUCAAGGGUUUUUUAUUGCUUCUCUUGAAAGAAGGAAAAAAAUAAAAAGAGGUGGACUCAUGGAGCAUGUCAUGCCCACAGACUUGCUUUCUCUGUGCAAAAGCUUUUAAGCCAUAAAAUAAUUUUAAAAAAAAAAUCAAACUGGGUGAACUUAAGGAAAGAAACAUGACAAGCGCACUUGCGUAUGAAGGUUUGGAGAAGCGAAACAAGGCCAGUGAGAAGGGGAUGUUAAAGAGGUCUUCCGAAAAGUGGGGAUGAGCUUAGAUGGGCAGGGGGAAAGGAAGCUCCCGGAACACAAGCACAGGGCUGGACUCAGUAAGUCAUAAAGAUAGAUCACAGGCUGCUUCAAAAUAGAGAUACAAAACACACACACACGUUUAAUUUAAAUUUGCAAUUUAACCGGGGAACUCAGCAGUCAGGAAUUUUAAUAAUCAAGUAGCUUGGAGCCAUGCAUGGGGUCAAAUCAAGCCAUUUGGCCAUUAAAUCCAGUCUCUGAGAGGAUAAACACUAGAUAUUUCUUAGAUAUCCGACUAAGUAAUUCCCCCAAACAAUUUCCAUUGAAUGCCAGGUGCAAAAGCAAUCACCUCAGAAUCCUCUCCAGGUCCACCGACCUGGGAUAGCAGGGCUUCCAAGAACCAGUGAACCAGUUCGAAAAUGAUUCUGGAACUUCAGAGAUCCUAUUACCAAGAAGCAGAAAUAGAUUUUCAAGUGCUCGCUUUGAACUAUUAAGCACUG